RNAcentral lists this long non-coding RNA (174 nucleotides) under Vulpes vulpes (red fox). Its description in RNAcentral is "lncRNA (ENSVVUG00000022798.1)". Lineage: Eukaryota; Metazoa; Chordata; Mammalia; Carnivora; Canidae. The record is from RNAcentral.
ACUUCAAUGCCAUCCAGAAGAUCGGGGAGCAGGCCCUGCAGAGUUCCACCUCGCAGAUUCUGGGAGAGAUCCUGGUGCAGAUGUCAGAUACCCAGCGGCACCUGAACUCCGACCUGGAGGUGGUGGUGCAGACAUUCCAUGGAGACCUACUGCAGCACAUGGAGAAGAACACCA